This 406-nucleotide ribosomal RNA is filed under the name uncultured bacterium. Its description in RNAcentral is "partial 16S ribosomal RNA". It matches the Rfam family "Bacterial small subunit ribosomal RNA", at positions 30 to 526 of the family's 1533-position model. The record is from RNAcentral.
AUCGAACGCUGGCGGCGGGCCUAACACAUGCAAGUCGAGCGAGCGGCGGACGGGUGAAUAAUGUCUGGACAACUGCCUGAUGUAGGGGGAUAACUACUGGAAACGGUAGCUAAUACCGCAUACCAUACGAUGUGCCCAGAGGUGAUUAGCUAGUAGGGGGGGUAAUGGCUCACCUAGGCGACGAUCCCUAGCUGGUCUGAGAGGCUGACCAGCCACACUGGAACUGAGACACGGUCCAGACUCCUACGGGAGGCAGCAGUGGGGAAUAUUGCACAAUGGGAGCAAGCCUGAUGCAGCCAUGCCGCGUGUGUGAAGAAGGCCUUCGGGUUGUAAAGCACUUUCAGCGAGGAGGCGUUACUCGCAGAAGAAGCACCGGCUAACUCCGUGCCAGCCGCCGCGGUAAUAC